RNAcentral lists this ribosomal RNA (686 nucleotides) under uncultured organism. RNAcentral's name for it is "bacterial SSU rRNA". It matches the Rfam family "Bacterial small subunit ribosomal RNA", at positions 726 to 1427 of the family's 1533-position model. The record is from RNAcentral.
GCACUGGGCUGGUACUGACCCUGAGAGACGAAAGCGUGGGGAGCAAAACGGAUUAGAUACCCGUGUAGUCCACGCCGUUAAACGAUGGAUACUAGAUGUUCGGGGAUUCGACCCCCUGGGUGUCACAGCUAACGCGUUAAGUAUCCCGCCUGGGAAGUACGGCCGCAAGGCUAAAACUCAAAGGAAUAGACGGGGAUCCGCACAAGCGGUGGAGCGUCUGGUUUAAUUUGAUAGUAAGCGAUGGACCUCACCAAGGUUUGACAUCCUAUGACAACCCUGGAAACAGGGCUUCCUUCGGGCAUAGUGACAGGUGCUGCAUGGUCGUCGUCAGUUCGUGCCGUGAGGUGUUCCGUUAAGUCGGGAAACGAACGAAACCCUCGUCGCAUGUUACAAAUUUCAUGCGAGACUGCCCGGGUCAACCGGGAGGAAGGCGGGGAUGACGUCAGAUCAGCAUGGCCCUUAUACCUUGGGCUACACAGGCGCUACAAUGGCCGGUACAAAGGGUUGCAAAACCGCGAGGUGAAGCUAAUCCCAUAAAGCCGGUCCAAGUUCGGAUUGGAGGCUGCAACUCGCCUCCAUGAAGUUGGAAUCGCUAGUAAUCGUGGAUCAGCCAUACCACGGUGAAUACGUUCCCGGAUCUUGUACUCACCGCCCGUCACACCAAGAGAGUUGGUAGCUCCUGAAGC